This 280-nucleotide long non-coding RNA is filed under the name Vitis vinifera (wine grape). RNAcentral describes it as "long non-coding RNA (VVIN_LNC007860)". The record is from RNAcentral. Lineage: Eukaryota; Viridiplantae; Streptophyta; Magnoliopsida; Vitales; Vitaceae.
AAGUACUCGCCCGAACAAUUUUUCGGUGCUCGCACGGAUUCUACCGUUUCCAGGUAUGCGCCGGGAUUUAUGAUUUUUUCGGUAUUCGCCUGGAUUCUACAAUUUUCAUUUAGUCACACUGAUUCAACCCUUUUCCGGUACUCGCCCGAACAGUUUUUCGUUACUCGCACGGAUUCUACCAUUUCCCGGUAUUCGUUGGGAUUUUACGAUUUUUCGUUAUUCGCUCGGAUUCUACCAUUUUCAUUUAGUCACACUGAUUCAACCCUUUUCCGGUAGUCGC